This 301-nucleotide ribosomal RNA is filed under the name uncultured bacterium. Its description in RNAcentral is "partial 16S ribosomal RNA". It matches the Rfam family "Bacterial small subunit ribosomal RNA", at positions 509 to 809 of the family's 1533-position model. The record is from RNAcentral.
CAGUAGCCGCGGGAAUACAGAGGGUGCGAGCGUUAAUCGGAUUUACUGGGCGUAAAGCGUGCGUAGGCGGCUUCUUAAGUCGGAUGUGAAAUCCCUGAGCUUAACUUAGGAAUUGCAUUCGAUACUGGGAAGCUAGAGUAUGGGAGAGGAUGGUAGAAUUCCAGGUGUAGCGGUGAAAUGCGUAGAGAUCUGGAGGAAUACCGAUGGCGAAGGCAGCCAUCUGGCCUAAUACUGACGCUGAGGUACGAAAGCAUGGGGAGCAAACAGGAUUAGAUACCCCAGUAGUCCCUGUCUCUUAUAA